This 284-nucleotide unclassified non-coding RNA is filed under the name plant metagenome. Its description in RNAcentral is "partial contains small subunit ribosomal RNA, internal transcribed spacer 1, and 5.8S ribosomal RNA". The stretch from base 1 to 53 matches the Rfam family "Eukaryotic small subunit ribosomal RNA", at positions 1778 to 1831 of the family's 1831-position model. The record is from RNAcentral.
GGAAGUAAAGUCGUAACAAGGUUUCCGUAGGUGAACCUGCGGAAGGAUCAUUAUUGUAUAACCGAGGUGCGAGGGCUGUCGCUGACCCGAAAGGUCGUGCACGCCCGAGUGCCCUCACACACAUCCAUCUCACCCCUAUGUGCACCACCGCGUGGGUCCCCCUUUGGCUUGUUCGGAGGGGGGCUUACGUUUUCACACAAACUUUGUAUGCAGUGUAGAAUGUAUUUUUUGUUUUUGCGAUCACGCAAUCAAUACAACUUUCAACAACGGAUCUCUUGGCUCUC